This 75-nucleotide small nucleolar RNA is filed under the name Hordeum vulgare subsp. vulgare (domesticated barley). The record is from RNAcentral. Lineage: Eukaryota; Viridiplantae; Streptophyta; Magnoliopsida; Poales; Poaceae.
GAGCAAAUGAUGAUUCAUAUGAUUAUUGUGAUACAUUUGAUGUUUCAGAAUUGAGCUUUCUAAACCUGAUGCCCA